RNAcentral lists this ribosomal RNA (253 nucleotides) under uncultured bacterium. Its description in RNAcentral is "partial 16S ribosomal RNA". It matches the Rfam family "Bacterial small subunit ribosomal RNA", at positions 524 to 776 of the family's 1533-position model. The record is from RNAcentral.
UACGUAGGGGGCAAGCGUUGUCCGGAUUUAUUGGGCGUAAAGCGCUCGCAGGUGGUUCGUCGCGUCGUGCGUGAAAGACCCCGGCUCAACUGGGGAGCGUCGUGCGAUACGGGCGGACUGGAGGCCAGUAGGGGGAUGCGGAAUUCCGGGUGUAGUGGUGGAAUGCGUAGAGAUCCGGAGGAACACCUGUGGCGAAGGCGGCUACCUGGACAGUGACUGACGCUGAGGCGCGAAAGCUAGGGGAGCGAACGGG